GUGUCUCAUGAUAUGAAUUGCUAUAUAUUUUGAGAAACAGCUUUCGACGCGAAGCUGACAUUUGGUAAACAUGCGAGGUUUUCGAUGGACGGCACCGUCUGACGCACGGGGAUCCUGUGGAACUUUUCCUUUUAUGGGAUGGAUCCCGGUCAUUCUGCUAUUGUUCUAAGGCACUGGGGCAUAGCCAAGGGAUUGAACUCCACUGACAAGAGAGUUUCCCGCCAGUUGGAGGACUUUCGCUCGGUUUUUCGGCGUCUUGAAAGUUUUAAUCGCACGAAAAAGAGCGCCCAGGAGAGCAAUCUCCUUAGGAAACUGGGCGCUCGUCGAAAGCAUCUCCAUCAUGGCGGCUGCGGGUGGUGCUGUCCGCGAAGGUUAUGCCGCAAUGCAGCCGUGCUUGUUUAAUAGAUAAGUGUGAUUUUAUUGCUUUGUUGAAGGAAAAUAAAAGCCUCCUAGUUGGAA
Long non-coding RNA from Nematostella vectensis (starlet sea anemone), 459 nucleotides. RefSeq lists it as uncharacterized. Lineage: Eukaryota; Metazoa; Cnidaria; Anthozoa; Actiniaria; Edwardsiidae. The record is from RefSeq and is a predicted model, not a curated record. The transcript is spliced from 2 exons.